CCUACGGGAGGCAGCAGUGAGGAAUAUUGGUCAAUGGACGUAAGGCUGAACCAGCCAAGUCGCGUGAAGGAAGAAGGAUCUAUGAUUUGUAAACUUCUUUUAUAGGGGAAUAAAGGUAUCCACGUGUGGCUAUUUGCAUGUACCCUAUGAAUAAGCAUCGGCUAACUCCGUGCCAGCAGCCGCGGUAAUACGGAGGAUGCGAGCGUUAUCCGGAUUUAUUGGGUUUAAAGGGUGCGUAGGUGGUUUUUUAAGUCAGCGGUGAAAGCUUGUGGCUCAACCAUAACAUUGCCGUUGAAACUGUAAGUCUAGAGUGUGUUUGAGGUAGGCGGAAUGCGUGGUGUAGCGGUGAAAUGCAUAGAUAUCACGCAGAACUCCGAUUGCGAAGGCAGCUUACUAAGCCAUAACUGACACUGAGGCACGAAAGCGUGGGGAUCAAACAGGAUUAGAUACCCGAGUAGUC
This 460-nucleotide ribosomal RNA is filed under the name uncultured bacterium. RNAcentral's name for it is "partial 16S ribosomal RNA". It matches the Rfam family "Bacterial small subunit ribosomal RNA", at positions 338 to 795 of the family's 1533-position model. The record is from RNAcentral.